UCUGCAUUUUUGGAGUCAUUUCAUUUCUAGCAGGCUUAUGUUUUUUAAUGCUGUAAAUUUCAGGUUUUAUCAUGGUGAUCCAGUGCUAAAUCCUCUUACACCUUGGGAAAGACCUCCAUUGAAAAACAUUUUCUGUAUACAUGGGAUAGAUAUGAAGAUUGAGGAUUUACAUCACUUCAGCCUAAAUUUAGACCAUAUAGAGGAUUUGUUUUUUUUUUUUUUAAAUUCAAGACCAUUUUCAAUUUAUUGUAAUAAAUAUUAUAUUUCUUUUAUUGUGUAGUAAUAUAAAUUUUGUUUAAUAUUCA
This is a long non-coding RNA of Magnolia sinica, 305 nucleotides long. RefSeq lists it as uncharacterized. The record is from RefSeq and is a predicted model, not a curated record. NCBI's taxonomy places the organism in Eukaryota, Viridiplantae, Streptophyta, Magnoliopsida, Magnoliales, Magnoliaceae. The transcript is spliced from 2 exons.